This 497-nucleotide ribosomal RNA is filed under the name uncultured bacterium. Its description in RNAcentral is "partial 16S ribosomal RNA". It matches the Rfam family "Bacterial small subunit ribosomal RNA", at positions 28 to 507 of the family's 1533-position model. The record is from RNAcentral.
GAUGAACGCUGGCGGCGUGCCUAAUACAUGCAAGUCGAGCGAACAGACGAGGAGCUUGCUCCUCUGACGUUAGCGGCGGACGGGUGAGUAACACGUGGAGAACCUACCUAUAAGACUGGGAUAACUUCGGGAAACCGGAGCUAAUACCGGAUAAUAUAUUGAACCGCAUGGUUCAAUAGUGAAAGACGGUUUUGCUGUCACUGAUAGAUGGAUCCGCGCCGCAUUAGCUAGUUGGUAAGGUAACGGCUUACCAAGGCGACGAUGCGUAGCCGACCUGAGAGGGGGUUCGGCCACACUGGAACUGAGACACGGUCCAGACUCCGACGGGAGGCAGCAGUAGGGAAUCUCCCGCAAUGGGCGAAAGCUUGACGGAGCAACGCCGCGUGAGUGAUGAAGGUCUUCGGAUCGUAAAACUCUGUGAUUAGGGAAGAACAAAUGUGUAAGUAACUAUGCACGUAUUGACGGUACCUAAUCAGAAAGCCACGGCUAACUCCGUG